Molecule: transfer RNA, 71 nt
Filed under: Marmota monax (woodchuck)
Lineage: Eukaryota; Metazoa; Chordata; Mammalia; Rodentia; Sciuridae
Description: tRNA.Val
Rfam family: tRNA
About the family: Transfer RNA (tRNA) molecules are approximately 80 nucleotides in length. Their secondary structure includes four short double-helical elements and three loops (D, anti-codon, and T loops). Further hydrogen bonds mediate the characteristic L-shaped molecular structure. tRNAs have two regions of fundamental functional importance: the anti-codon, which is responsible for specific mRNA codon recognition, and the 3' end, to which the tRNAs corresponding amino acid is attached (by aminoacyl-tRNA synthetases). tRNAs cope with the degeneracy of the genetic code in two manners: having more than one tRNA (with a specific anti-codon) for a particular amino acid; and 'wobble' base-pairing, i.e. permitting non-standard base-pairing at the 3rd anti-codon position.
Source: RNAcentral
GGGGUUGUGGCUCAGUGGUAGAGUGCUCGCCUGACAUGCGUGAGGCACUGGGUUCUAUCCUCAGCACCACA